Molecule: RNA transcript, 1686 nt
Organism: Ricinus communis (castor bean)
Lineage: Eukaryota; Viridiplantae; Streptophyta; Magnoliopsida; Malpighiales; Euphorbiaceae
Gene name: OVARIAN TUMOR DOMAIN-containing deubiquitinating enzyme 4
Exons: 7
Source: RefSeq, a predicted model, not a curated record
GCCAAACUAGUAAAAAUUUACAUAUACAUUUAUUUCACACGGUGUGUCGCUGUCGUUAAUUAUGUUAUCCAGAGAGAGAGUAAACGGUUACUUGCUAUUCGAAAUCUUGUAUAAGGUAGCGUUUGUUUGUAGGCGUGACACCGCAAUGCGAGCUGCUAGUUCAGUGACCCAGAUCAAGAAAUGGCGCAUGCUUAUUUAACAAUCUAAACCAAAAAUCAUAAAUACCGAACUUGUUAUCCGUUGCUUCAAUGAUAUAAUUAUCUUUUAUCCUAUUGAGGUCCAAAAGCAGGUGUGAUAUAACAGAGGGCUAAGGGAAUGUGAAGUCCAGACCUCUCAGUUGUUAGGCGAAUCCAGUAGCUUUUAUCACUUACAAACAACUAUAAAGUUUCAAAAUAAACUUAGGGGGAUCCCUGCUUGGGGUUGGGCAGAUUUAUAACCAGGCUAAUGCCAGCAUGAUAGUUUGCUCUCCUAUCAGCACAUAUGCGAGAAAAGUUGUCUACCUGAGUGGGUGUGCUCAACAUAUGGGAAGCACUAUUUUCAAUAUGGUCUCCAAUGGACAAUCGACUUCAUGUUGUUUCUGUUCAUGCCGUGCACAUUUGAGCAAAAGUUAUGCUCGAUUGUCUAUCUCAAAGACAUUCUCUAGUCCAUCUGUUGGUACCUUUCAAACAUCGAACAAAAACUUUUCUGGAUCUGGUUCUGCCAAGCAAAGUGGCAGUUGGCAAUCAAUUACUGUCAAAGGUUUAUUUAACACUAGAGGUCCUUUGAAGAAGCACUUCAAUCUUUCACUGGCAUAUCAGAAUCUGAACAUGAGGUUUUCGCUGUCAAAACGAGGAAUGCUCUCCAAAAUAAAGGAUAAUGUGGGAUCUAUAUCUUGGGCGCAAGAAUGUGCCUCAACUGGCUUAAUUUGUGGUCUCUUAGUUUGUUAUUCAAGUUCUGAGCCAACACGUGCUGAAGCAGCUGCGAGGGAGAAGGAUGAGGAGGAUAAUUCUGAUCUAUCAUAUGUUAAAUUCUCACAUGGGAAAAGGGUGUACACUGACUAUUCCAUUACUGGAAUACCUGGAGAUGGGAGGUGUUUGUUCCGCUCUGUUGCUCAUGGCGCCAGUUUACGGACUGGAAAGCCAGCUCCGAGUGAAAGUCUUCAGAGAGAAUUGGCAGAUGACUUGCGGGCUAGAGUAUCUUUCUCAUGCUUUUCUCAUAUUGAGUCUGAAAUUUGGUUUAUAUCUUGGGUCUGGUGGUUUACAUUAUGGUUUACAUCAGAAUGGCCUCUGAUUUCUGUUGGUUUUGUUAAAUUUGUCAGGUUGCUGAUGAGUUUAUCAGGAGGAGGCAAGAGACAGAAUGGUUUAUCGAAGGUGAUUUUGACACAUACGUAGCGCAGAUGAGGAAGCCACAUGUAUGGGGGGGUGAGCCUGAGCUAUUCAUGGCUUCUCAUGUUCUAAAGAUGCCAAUCACUGUGUACAUGUAUGACCAGAAUGCUAGGGGCCUUAUAUCUAUUGCUGAAUACGGUGAGGAAUAUGGAAAGGACAAUCCAAUCAGAGUUCUCUAUCAUGGUUUUGGCCAUUAUGAUGCUCUACAGAUUCCUGGAAGGAAAGGUGGCAAACCAAAACUAUAAUCAUUAUUCUUGUUUAAAUGCCAGAAGAGUAAUUGUAUCAACAAUUCAUAAACAUUAUAAAUUAAAUAUUUUAUUUA